UGCUGGGCUGAUGCCUGGAGCCAGCCCUAAUCAGAGGGAGAAUGGCCUUUUAUUUUCCUGUGCAGUAGGGACUUUGAAAAUCCUCCCUGAGGAUCUCUGAAUGGGGAAGAUUUCCUGCUGGUGAAAGUAGGUUUGCGCUGCACAUUUCAGAGACAAGUGCCAUGCAGUGUGCUGUAUCUGGCUGGAGGAUUUGGCCUGUCCCAUAUUCCUGGAGUUCUACAUUCCAUAUUAAAGAUCAGACUCUUAACAGAACUGGGGGCUAAGCUGCCUAUUUAUUUUUUAAAUCAAUAUGUUUUUCAGCGAAGCAUCUGAAUAAACAAAGUAGCAGUGGCCACCUUCUCCUGCCUUCCCUUCUUGCCUUGCCUGAAUCCUCUCUAAUGAGUGGUCAUCACAGAACACUACAAAACUAGUAUCAGACACAACAGUGACAUCAAGAGAUGUCUCAGCUACAGGAUGACAGAUUUCUUGCCCUCUUCACUGCCCUGCCUUGCUCCAGAAGAAACAGAAUGGGAAAGAUAAAGAGACAAAUCAGCUAUUAUGGCUUUGAUUCUCAGACUGGUAUUGUCUUUGCUUGCCUGCUACUUAAUGAGUAACCCAAGCCACUGACCUAGGUGGAGCUCCAGCACAUACAUCAGUACAGCCUCUUUCACUGCUAGUCCUUCACUUCUGCUCUCAUUUGUUCCAUCAGUGCAUCCUCUCUUCUCCCUCCAUCUCCUGGCUGUUUGGAUAAAGAUACACCAUAAUGGGAAGGGACCAUCCAUCCAUUGAUUGCUCUUUCUUAUGAAAGAUUAAGACAUUGGUUAUGUUGCCAAUUCAGCUGUGAAGGAAUAAGUUCAACUGUGAAGGAAGCCCUGAUGGAAGGCCCUGGAAGGUAACAGGUCCAGAGGUGGGAGGAAAGUUUGAAGAAAAUCUGUUCAAUGGAUCUGGAGUUUUCUGAACAUGAAAAAUUGGUUUUUCAGCUGUGAAAAAUUGUCCAGGUGCUUUUUCAUGCUGGUAUAAUAAAACCAACUGGAACAUA
Chelonoidis abingdonii (Abingdon island giant tortoise) is the source of this 1018-nucleotide long non-coding RNA. RefSeq lists it as uncharacterized. NCBI's taxonomy places the organism in Eukaryota, Metazoa, Chordata, Testudines, Testudinidae. The record is from RefSeq and is a predicted model, not a curated record.